AGUGAACGCUGGCGGCAGGCCUAAUACAUGCAAGUCGAACGGCAGCACAGCAGAGCUUGCUCUGUGGGUGGCGAGUGGCGGACGGGUGAGGAAUACAUGGGAAUCUGCCCAGUCGUGGGGGAUAACGUAUGGAAACGUACGCUAAUACCGCAUGCGCCCUAAGGGGGAAAGCCGGGGACCGCAAGGCCUGGCGCGAUUGGAUGAGCCCAUGUUCGAUUAGCUAGUUGGCGGGGUAAAGGCCCACCAAGGCGACGAUCGAUAGCUGGUCCUGAGAGGAUGAUCAGCCACACUGGAACUGAGACACGGUCCAGACUCCUACGGGAGGCAGCAGUAGGGAAUAUUGGACAAUGGGGGCAACCCUGAUCCAGCCAUGCCGCGUGAGUGAAGAAGGCCCUCGGGUUGUAAAGCUCUUUUGUCCGGAAGAAAAGCAAUCGGUUAAUACCCGGUUGUCCUGACGGUACCGGAAGAAUAAGCACCGGCUAACUUCGUGCC
RNAcentral lists this ribosomal RNA (492 nucleotides) under uncultured bacterium. RNAcentral's name for it is "bacterial SSU rRNA". It matches the Rfam family "Bacterial small subunit ribosomal RNA", at positions 29 to 509 of the family's 1533-position model. The record is from RNAcentral.